CACCCUGAAAUAACAAAUGGGACUAAGUUCAAAUAGUUUCUUGCAUAUACUGUAUUAAAAGCUUCAAAAACUCACUCCCAAAACCUAUUUUAGUUUUGGCAUGACCAGUAGAUAUGACCCAAGGUGACUGUGAUGAGAUCUUGGGCCUUCUGGUAAAUGUUGGCAAGCCUUUCCGCUCUAAAGCUUUCUCUCCUCCACGCUUGAAGACCCAUCACCUUUCAGCGUGAGUUUAAAGAACAGACAGCAGUCCUCAGAUGACCUAUGGGCUGCAGCCGUGGUGCCUAAUGGCCAAAGCAAUUCCCUUAUGGAACUUAAAGCAACACCAUGGCACGCCUGAUUUGCUAUUUGUGAAGGAGUACCUUAAUUCAGCUCUAUGAAAGCAGUCAGUAGGAGCCUGGAGGCUGUGUUCACAGGAGCUGCAGUGGUCUUAAGCAAGGAUUAUACUUUCCGCAUCCGCUAGGGUCCGCUUGGCGAAAAAACAUUAUCAGAGGGGGUACGCGUAGGGUCUGUGCGGACGUACGUGCGCCGGCCCUUUUUUAUGGCCGCGUGGACCUGUCCGCACGCCGACUACGCUACCAAGUCACCAACCGAUCUACUGCGUGUGUGGAACGAGUCCGCCAAGAAUGAUGGCCAGCACGAUGAUUGAUGUGGAGAUGAAGUGUUGAAGGGAAAAGCCUGGAGGUUUCUACAUGAGACCAGCAGUCCCACUGGCCCCGGCGAGUGGACAACGUGACCGAACACAGCCUCCAAGACCGGCAGAGCCCAGUUUGACGAUAAUAAUUACAGCACCAUGAAGAUUUCUAGUGGCUCCAACCAGACCAACACACAGCUGGUUCAAGCAGAGACAGGAUUCCAUUCCUCUAACUGCCUGCCUGCCAGCGCGCUCUCUGCCAGCCACGCCAAACCAGCCACGCCAGCCUCAUUCAUUUUCUCUGCCUGCUCUGGUUACCAACCGCCAUUACUCCUCACCCUCUGCCCUCUGCUUUCUUCAGCAAGAUCGCCACAUCACCAUCCAUCUCCUCCUUUCACCCCCGUUUACAAUAUAUACUCUUUUGUUGUGUUACAUUUGGAAUUCGAGUCUGCUUCGGGGUUCUAACUCUGUGAAUCAUAACACAAACUCGCAGCUUGCACACAUCCCCCACCUGAAACUGGGUGUGUGUGUGGGGGGGGGGGUUACAACACAGUAUGGACCAGAGCUAGCUGGUUAGCAUGCUCACUUCAGUAGAUAUCUCUGCAACACGACACAUAGAUGUCUUUGAAAUAACGUCAUAGCUGUUACUUCUUCACAUUCUGGCCAUAUCUUACACAUUGUAACUUUAAAGAAAAGGGGAUGAUUGGAAGACUAAUAAACAGAACACAAACUACAAACAUCACUGGCUUAGUUAAUUAAUGACACAUAUUAGUAAAAAGCGCCAUUUCAAGCAUUUCUUACUAACCAAGCUAGCUAGCUCCACCCUCAUGUCUAAAUAUAGGCACUUCUGGUUCCAAAAAAACAAGAAGGUGUUAUGAGUUAAGGAUUCUGGUCUUGUUUUGGUUCCGUGUCUUGUGUUCUACUGUUUUGCCCAUGUUUGCUCUUUUUGUUGAACCUGUUUAAGUCUGUUUUUGGUUCUGUGUUUCUCUGUUUAGCCUUGUUUAUUAUUUUAUUCAUUCGCAUGUUUAGGUUUACUUUGUAUCUGUCUUGUCUCUUAUCUUAGGUCUUAGUCCUGCAUUUUAGUUCUUUGCCUCAGUUCUAAGUCCAGUGCCUUAGUUCUUAGUUCUGUGCUUUAGUUCAUGUUAGUGUUAUUCCUGGUGUGUGUAUUUCUGUGUUUCAUUAUUUGAUCUUUUCUGGUUUAGGAUUUUGUUUAGGCAAGUUUUUUUACCUGUUCGAGUCCUAUGUCUCCAUGUUUUAGUGUAAUUUAAUGUUUGUGUUCUGUUCAGUCAGUGUGGGAUCAUUGUAGUUAAUUGCUUGUUGCUUGUGGAUGCUCUGUAACCUGUGUUCAUCUCAGACUCAUGUUCCUGUCUGCCUGGCCUGCUUGUGGAUUAUUGUUUCAUCUUGCCUUCUUUGGAUUUACUUUUGGACCACUUUUUGUAAGUUUGCUUGUUUU
Molecule: long non-coding RNA, 2084 nt
Organism: Micropterus salmoides (largemouth bass)
Lineage: Eukaryota; Metazoa; Chordata; Actinopteri; Centrarchiformes; Centrarchidae
Exons: 4
Source: RefSeq, a predicted model, not a curated record